This 1372-nucleotide ribosomal RNA is filed under the name uncultured bacterium. Its description in RNAcentral is "bacterial SSU rRNA". It matches the Rfam family "Bacterial small subunit ribosomal RNA", at positions 28 to 1381 of the family's 1533-position model. The record is from RNAcentral.
GAUGAACGCUGGCGGCGUGCCUAAUACAUGCAAGUCGAGCGAACGGACGAGAAGCUUGCUUCUCUGAUGUUAGCGGCGGACGGGUGAGUAACACGUGGAUAACCUACCUAUAAGACUGGGAUAACUUCGGGAAACCGGAGCUAAUACCGGAUAAUAUUUUGAACCGCAUGGUUCAAAAGUGAAAGACGGUCUUGCUGUCACUUAUAGAUGGAUCCGCGCUGCAUUAGCUAGUUGGUAAGGUAACGGCUUACCAAGGCAACGAUGCAUAGCCGACCUGAGAGGGUGAUCGGCCACACUGGAACUGAGACACGGUCCAGACUCCUACGGGAGGCAGCAGUAGGGAAUCUUCCGCAAUGGGCGAAAGCCUGACGGAGCAACGCCGCGUGAGUGAUGAAGGUCUUCGGAUCGUAAAACUCUGUUAUUAGGGAAGAACAUAUGUGUAAGUAACUGUGCACAUCUUGACGGUACCUAAUCAGAAAGCCACGGCUAGCUACGUGCCAGCAGCCGCGGUAAUACGUAGGUGGCAAGCGUUAUCCGGAAUUAUUGGGCGUAAAGCGCGCGUAGGCGGUUUUUUAAGUCUGAUGUGAAAGCCCACGGCUCAACCGUGGAGGGUCAUUGGAAACUGGAAAACUUGAGUGCAGAAGAGGAAAGUGGAAUUCCAUGUGUAGCGGUGAAAUGCGCAGAGAUAUGGAGGAACACCAGUGGCGAAGGCGACUUUCUGGUCUGUAACUGACGCUGAUGUGCGAAAGCGUGGGGAUCAAACAGGAUUAGAUACCCUGGUAGUCCACGCCGUAAACGAUGAGUGCUAAGUGUUAGGGGGUUUCCGCCCCUUAGUGCUGCAGCUAACGCAUUAAGCACUCCGCCUGGGGAGUACGACCGCAAGGUUGAAACUCAAAGGAAUUGACGGGGACCCGCACAAGCGGUGGAGCAUGUGGUUUAAUUCGAAGCAACGCGAAGAACCUUACCAAAUCCUGACAUCCUUUGACAACUCUAGAGAUAGAGCCUUCCCCUUCGGGGGACAAAGUGACAGGUGGUGCAUGGUUGUCGUCAGCUCGUGUCGUGAGAUGUUGGGUUAAGUCCCGCAACGAGCGCAACCCUUAAGCUUAGUUGCCAUCAUUAAGUUGGGCACUCUAAGUUGACUGCCGGUGACAAACCGGAGGAAGGUGGGGAUGACGUCAAAUCAUCAUGCCCCUUAUGGUUUGGGCUACACACGUGCUACAAUGGACAAUACAAAGGGCAGCGAAACCGCGAGGUCAAGCAAAUCCCAUAAAGUUGUUCUCAGUUCGGAUUGUAGUCUGCAACUCGACUACAUGAAGCUGGAAUCGCUAGUAAUCGUAGAUCAGCAUGCUACGGUGAAUACGUUCCCGGGUCU